This 2719-nucleotide long non-coding RNA is filed under the name Equus caballus (horse). Its description in RNAcentral is "lncRNA (ENSECAG00000046974.1)". Lineage: Eukaryota; Metazoa; Chordata; Mammalia; Perissodactyla; Equidae. The record is from RNAcentral.
GGACAAUCUGCAUACCAAUCGACUCAUCUGUGCACACAGGCUGAGAACAAUGCAGGGAGAGAUGCGGAAAGGCCUGUGCUGCGAUGACAAUGCUUCCAGUGUGCUGACCUCGUCAGCGAAGCAAACAAAAGUACAGUCUCUUUGGAGGAGACAUUAAUGAGUCAUUAAGAACGGGUACAGCUGCGUGGUGCAAGCACUUCGUUAAAAAUAUUCUUCUCAUUUUGUGUCUGUCCCGUAAUUAUAAUGGAAGUAUUGUGCAAGUCAGCCAGUCAGCGCAUGCAGAAAAAUAUUUAUGUUUUACAAUAUCUGCACGGUUUUUAAAGUGCAUUGUCAAGUGUGGCUGCUGUACCGCGUUUUGCCUGUUGUCGCCUCUUACUGACAGCCUCAGCUUUAAAACGCCCUGCACCCGCGUUAUGACAGUCACCGCUCUGUCUCCGUACGUGCCUGGUGCACAUCCCGGCCACCAGGGAAGGCGCACUGUGGAGCUCUGCCGUCUGCCCUGCUGAAUUUGGGGAAAACAAGGCUGUACGCUCCUCCAUCGCGAGGCCAUGGCUCCUGCUCCCUCCUCUCCUCAUGGUCAGGCCAGCCCGUGGGGCCCACGGCCACAGUGCCCACCCAGGCAGGAGACCCCAGAGCAGAGUAAGGAAACCCAAUGUGCCUUUGAGAGAACCGUUUAGAAACUGCCCUCAACUGUCUUUAAAGCUGGAGAAGUCCCUGAAGGUCACCCAAGGUGCUCACUGUGGGGACGAGGAGAGUGGAUCUGGGGAGGGGAGAGGCCGGCUCGGGGCUGCAUCAGGGGCCCCCAUUUAAUCCACGUGCAUGGAGCAGUUCCUGAGGAUGCUGGGGGCAGGACCACCAUCAACAGGAGCGAGCGGCUGGAGGGACGGGAGGCAGCAUUGGGGACCACACGUCCCCCAUCUGUUACAGACCCACGGGCGCUUCCAGCCCCCAAAGGACGCUGUCCUUGGUAAGUGUCUCAAAACUAAGUUUCCUUAAGAAAAGAAGUUGGGAAUGUGAGCUUCUUUCAUGACAUCGUCAGGCUCCAGGGACUGCCUGCCUUCUCACCCAGACGGAGGCAGGACUGCCCCCAGUUAGCUCUGGGCUGGUACGGGCAGGAUGGAACGCACCACCGGGCUGGGCCAGCAUCUUCGUGUCCUGCUCCCAGGAGACCCCACAUCUGUGGGUGACUCUUCAGGGCCUGCUGGUCCAACCGAGGCAGCUGGGGUGGCGCACCCUGUCAGGCCUCUUCCUUGAGCUUCCGUCCUCGGUGACCUCUGAGGAAGGUGGAAGGCGGAGGGGGAGCAGGUGGUCUGAGCAGGCAGCUUCCUGGCAGGAAGGGGGGCUGUGGAGGCCCCACCCCCUUUCUGGCACCUUCUGCCCACUCUGCCAGCGAGUCACAUCCCGGAAGGCCGUCCCUGGCCACUGUCUCAUCAUUCCUCAACGCGGACGUGGUCAGGACAAGGUGAUGGAGCCCAGGCAUUCGGACUCUGCUCGGGUGGGACUGGAGCCAGCGCCCGUGAAAGGACCCUCUGACACCGGGAAGGGUUCGGAUGCAGCCGGGCAUUAGCGGAUGGACAGGCUUCUGUUCACUUUGUUAGUGUUUCAACGACAUUGUAGGAUGUAAAAGGAAAACGCCCUUAUCUGUUAGCAAGAAAACGUUUACAGAAAUAGUGAGGCAUCUUGGACGGUGCUAGAAUGCUCGCAAGCACAGCAGAAGGGCGUUUGUGGAGAAAAACAAGACGGUGAAACGACCGGAAUUGAAACUGGGCGAUGGAGGGUGUACCCAAUUCCGCUGCUUUUGGGUCAGUUAGAAAUUCCCACAAUAAGACAUGAAGAAAAAAAUGUACACCACUCUCCCAUGGAGUCCUGGAUCUUGAAAAGGGCUUUAAAGAUAGAAGAACUUUUCAACUUAUCCCAUUUCCCACGGGGGAAACGCUCAAUUUGGGGAGGCCAGGAAGGCGCGGGCCAGGGGGAGCAGGAGGCAGGGCCGCCUGGCUCACCGGAGGCACAGGUGCUCUACCUGCCAUGACCCCGCGGUGACGUACCUGUCAACACUCUGAAGGGCUGGAGCUCAGCUUCCUGCCAGCAGUACAGCAGCAGGGCCAAGAGCGCCAGCAUUCCUCUACUUGCUGCCAUGCUCCCUCCCGCUGAAGGAGGGAGAGGAGGACCUCCUCCUGAAGGCCCCUCUGCUACCCGCCUCUGUCUCCAGGAUACUGUGGAAUGUCAGGGACCUGUGACCUCACGGCAGGAAGUGAGGGUCCUGCCCUCAGUGGGGAGAAUGGUGCCCAGGGUCUCUGACUGGGAAGGCUGGCUAGGGGGAUCCCCUCCACUUGCUCCCAUGGCCCGUUCACGUGCUUUCCUCGUCCUGCAGACCCUGAGGCCUGAAGGGGUAGGACGUUAAUCAGGACUCUGUGGAGUGGCAGAACCCAACAAAAUCUGCUCACAGGAAAAGAGAUGUAUUGGAAGGAGGCUGGAGAGCUCACUGUGUGACACGUUUGUCCUCACGUGGAGCCCCAGGAGAGGAUGGUCCUGUGUCAUCUGGAAUUCAGCAACAUUCGGAAGACAGAACCAGAGCCAGGACAAGCGUUCCUGAGAAAACAACCCCGGUCCUACUCGUCUUGCAGGACCAGCUCAUGUGCGUGUCUUCUGUGAAGACUUCGUGAGCUCUUUGGCCAAAAGUGAUGGUUCUAUUCCCUAUUCGUUAAAAAGAACGAAACUA